UCGAAGGGCUAUGCAGUAGACAGUAGAACUUACAGGACCCAGACUUUGAUUACUUGUGUUCUCCAACCGAUACCACAACCUCUUUCUUCUUGUUUCUAGCAGAAGCCUGCAGUUGUCAUUAAUCUUAAUACUGAGCUCCAGUCCAUAUUAUCCAAACACUUUUGAAGGAAGGGAUGGCAGAGAGGGAGGGCCAUGUGGCAGCUGAACCAGGCUGCACCGUGUCCACCAAUUUUCUCAGCUUCUCCUAUCUUACCUCACAUAGGCUUUUCUUUGUGGGCUCAAGAGAAGGCCAUCUCCCUGAUGCCAUCUGCAUGAUCCAUGUUGAGCGGUUCACACCAGUGCCUUCUCUGCUCUUCAAUGGUAUCAUGGCAUUGAUCUACUUGUGCGUGGAAGACAUCUUCCAGCUCAUUAACUACUACAGCUUCAGCUACUGGUUCUUUGUGGGGCUUUCUAUUGUGGGUCAGCUUUAUCUGCGCUGGAAGGAGCCUGAUCGACCUCGUCCCCUCAAGCUCAGCGUUUUCUUCCCGAUUGUCUUCUGCCUCUGCACCAUCUUCCUGGUGGCUGUUCCACUUUACAGUGAUACUAUCAACUCCCUCAUCGGCAUUGCCAUUGCCCUCUCAGGCCUGCCCUUUUACUUCCUCAUUGUCAGAGUGCCAGAACAUAAGCGACCGCUUUACCUCCGAAGGAUCGUGGGGUCUGCCACAAGGUACCUCCAGGUCCUGUGUAUGUCAGUUGCUGCAGAAAUGGAUUUGGAAGAUGGAGGAGAGAUGCCCAAGCAACGGGAUCCCAAGUCUAACUAAACACCAUCUGGAAUCCUGAUGUGGAAAGCAGGGGUUU
This 837-nucleotide small RNA is filed under the name Pongo abelii (Sumatran orangutan). RNAcentral's name for it is "retained intron". Lineage: Eukaryota; Metazoa; Chordata; Mammalia; Primates; Hominidae. The record is from RNAcentral.